AAAAAAAGAGUUUACCUGGGAGUGUAAAGCUGAUCCUUUGAUAGCUUCCUAUUUUAACCAAUUAUUCAUGCUCAAUGGGUACUAAUUCCAAUUUCUGUCUGGUGAAGAACACAGGAGUGUCAGAGCCUUCUAAAUUUAAAUCCAGUACAUGUUCAAGUUAAGACAUUCCUGAUAUCAUUGGUCUUCUUCAAAAAUAAAGGAUGAACAAGAUUUUGAUAUCCUGGAAUCAAAGCCCUAGUUAUCUUGACCUCAUUUUCACUCUGUCUUGUUAGGAGCUACAGAGGAGCUUGGUAGAAGUCCCCAACAUGGAUUUUACCUUCUACUCUCAUGAUACUUUUUUGCAAAGGGCAUCAUAUACUCCAUGUGUCCAAGGCUUGUUCAGGUUCCUUGAAGUUGGGAUUGUUCUCCCCUAGCAGUAUGUCAGUAGAAUGACAGAUCUGGAAGGGGAUUUGAAGACCGUUAAAUUUAACCCUCUGUUGGUGUGUUCAUUUAAAGGAAGAAA
This 502-nucleotide long non-coding RNA is filed under the name Monodelphis domestica (gray short-tailed opossum). Its description in RNAcentral is "lncRNA (ENSMODG00000049548.1)". Lineage: Eukaryota; Metazoa; Chordata; Mammalia; Didelphimorphia; Didelphidae. The record is from RNAcentral.